AAAAAUGUCAUAGCAUCAAAAUUAAGUAUUAUGAUCAACUGAUUUUGCAGAUGUUUCAUAAUACAUAUUAAAUAGUAGAAAAUUUGAUCUUAUGAUGCAUACAAAAUGUUACACCAAAAUAGGGAUGUAAAACUAAUGUUCAAAUGCAAAUUCCUGGGUCCAAGAAUAUUAUAGUUCUUUCAUUCUUCCUGAAAGCAAUCCAUUUUCACAUCCGUAACAUCGAGUUGCAGUAUCUCUGUUCUGCAACCAAGAAUUGAACCGAUACUAGGUUGAGUGC
This 277-nucleotide unclassified non-coding RNA is filed under the name Hevea brasiliensis (rubber tree). Lineage: Eukaryota; Viridiplantae; Streptophyta; Magnoliopsida; Malpighiales; Euphorbiaceae. The record is from RNAcentral.